Long non-coding RNA from Physella acuta, 387 nucleotides. RefSeq lists it as uncharacterized. The record is from RefSeq and is a predicted model, not a curated record. Lineage: Eukaryota; Metazoa; Mollusca; Gastropoda; Physidae.
UUCAGUAAACUACAGUUAAGUAAGCUUAAGGUUGUUUUUAAAAGAUACAAGACAUAGCACGCGGGGUGAAAGGUCUACAGAUCGUCAACAUUGUGACAAGAUGAAUUCUCUUGUAGUCUACAUCAUAUACCUUGCCAUCUGGCUCUUCUUCAUUACCCAAGGUUGGGCUCGAAGUUGUAGACGCCAUUGCUCGGUUACAAGGGUUGGUACAAUAUGUCGCACUGAUUGUGGUUGGUGGGCAUAGUGAUUGUUGUGUGAUCAAACGCAUAGUGCAUUUCCUAAAUGGUCGACUGUCACGGUCAAAACUAGCAAGCCAGAAUGAUGAGCCUCAGAUUUGAACGUAUGUAAUAAACAAUGACCAAAAUGGAAAUUAAAAAAUUAAAACUA